This 416-nucleotide ribosomal RNA is filed under the name uncultured bacterium. RNAcentral's name for it is "bacterial SSU rRNA". It matches the Rfam family "Bacterial small subunit ribosomal RNA", at positions 29 to 468 of the family's 1533-position model. The record is from RNAcentral.
AACGAACGCUGGCGGCAUGCCUAACACAUGCAAGUCGAACGAGACCUUCGGGUCUAGUGGCGCACGGGUGCGUAACGCGUGGGAACCUGCCUUUAGGUUCGGAAUAACUCAGAGAAAUUUGAGCUAAUACCGGAUAAUGUCUUCGGACCAAAGAUUUAUCGCCUUUAGAUGGGCCCGCGUUGGAUUAGCUAGUUGGUGGGGUAAAGGCCUACCAAGGCGACGAUCCAUAGCUGGUCUGAGAGGAUGAUCAGCCACACUGGGACUGAGACACGGCCCAGACUCCUACGGGAGGCAGCAGUGGGGAAUAUUGGACAAUGGGCGAAAGCCUGAUCCAGCCAUGCCGCGUGUGUGAAGAAGGUCUUCGGGACUUGUAAAGGACACUUUAAGUUUGGGAGGAAGGGUAGUAACCUAAUACG